AGCGAACGCUGGCGGCAGGCCUAACACAUGCAAGUCGAACGAACUCUUCGGAGUUAGUGGCGGACGGGUGAGUAACACGUGGGAACGUGCCUUUUGGUUCGGAAUAACUCAGGGAAACUUGUGCUAAUACCGAAUGUGCCCUUCGGGGGAAAGAUUUAUCGCCAUUAGAGCGGCCCGCGUCUGAUUAGCUAGUUGGUGAGGUAACGGCGCACCAAGGCGACGAUCAGUAGCUGGUCUGAGAGGAUGACAAGCCACACUGGGACUGAGACACGGCCCAGACUCCUACGGGAGGCAGCAGUGGGGAAUCUUGCGCAAUGGGCGAAAGCCUGACGCAGCCAUGCCGCGUGAAUGAUGAAGGUCUUAGGAUUGUAAAAUUCUUUCACCGGGGACGAUAAUGACGGUACCCGGAGAAGAAGCCCCGGCUAACUUCGUG
Molecule: ribosomal RNA, 433 nt
Filed under: uncultured bacterium
Lineage: Bacteria
Description: partial 16S ribosomal RNA
Rfam family: Bacterial small subunit ribosomal RNA
Source: RNAcentral